This 253-nucleotide ribosomal RNA is filed under the name uncultured bacterium. Its description in RNAcentral is "partial 16S ribosomal RNA". It matches the Rfam family "Bacterial small subunit ribosomal RNA", at positions 524 to 776 of the family's 1533-position model. The record is from RNAcentral.
GACAGAGGUGCCGAGCGUUAGGCGGAAUCACUGGGCUUAAAGCGUGUGUAGGCGGACUUAUAAGUCAGUGGUGAAAUCUCCAGGCUUAACUUGGAAACUGCCAUUGAUACUAUCAAUCUUGAAUACCGUGGAGGUCAGCGGAAUAUGUCAUGUAGCGGUGAAAUGCUUAGAUAUGACAUAGAACACCAAUUGCGAAGGCAGCUGGCUACACGAAUAUUGACACUGAUGCACGAAAGCGUGGGGAUCAAACAGG